Molecule: ribosomal RNA, 487 nt
Filed under: Acholoe squamosa
Lineage: Eukaryota; Metazoa; Annelida; Polychaeta; Phyllodocida; Polynoidae
Description: partial 16S ribosomal RNA
Rfam family: Bacterial large subunit ribosomal RNA
Source: RNAcentral
CGUUUUUAGUUAUUCUAUUAAAAAUACUCCCUGCCCAGUGACUAAUCGUUCAACGGCCGCGGUAUCCUAACCGUGCAAAGGUAGCAUAAUCAUUUGCCUUUUAAUUGGAGGCUAGUAUGAAUGGGAAGACGUGGAUUUUACUGUCUCUUUUUUGGACUUAAAACUUAAACUCUAGGUGAAGAUGCCUAGAUCUUAUGGAAAGACAAGAAGACCCUAUAGAGUUUUAGUUGACUUUAGCCAACUUUGCUAAUAUGACUUUGGUUGGGGCGACCUAGGAUUAUUUUUAACAUCCUUUAUUUUUUAGAUUAUAUAAAUCUUUUUAAUUGACCCUUUUAUAGACAAUUAGAAGUAACUACCUUAGGGAUAACAGGCUUAUCUUCCUAGAGAGCUCUUAUUGAUAGGAUGGUUUGGCACCUCGAUGUUGGCUUAGAGUAACUCAAUACCGCAGCAGGUAUUUGAAGUCAGUUUGUUCAACUGUUAAAUCUCU